RNAcentral lists this long non-coding RNA (791 nucleotides) under Salmo salar (Atlantic salmon). RNAcentral's name for it is "lncRNA (ENSSSAG00000085195.1)". The record is from RNAcentral. Lineage: Eukaryota; Metazoa; Chordata; Actinopteri; Salmoniformes; Salmonidae.
AUUUAAAAAAAUAAAUAUUGUGUAAUAAAACUGCAUAAACCUAAUGUCAAGUUAAAGUGUACUGUUAGCUAGCUAAAGUUAGCUGUCUAGCUCGCUAGCUAAGUGUAUGUUCUCCACUUUCUGGAGGACCGAGUUUUGAAAUCAGUGAAAUUUGAGUAUGAUAGCUAAGGAGAUGGAGAAAAUACCAGUCUGGAUUACAUCGUCAAACUAAGGCAACCAUGCAUGGCAUCAGACAGGAGACCCGUCCAACCAUGAUGUAUACUGAUGCAGUGACGUAUCUAUGGAUGCAGUGACGUAUCUAUGGAUGCAGCGACGUAUCUACGGAUGCAGUGACGUAUCUACAGAUGCAGUGACGUAUCUGCGGAUGCAGUGCCGUAUCUAUGGAUGCAGUGACGUAUCUACGGAUGCGGUGACGUAUCUACAGAUGCAGGGACGUAUCUAUGGAUGCAGUGCCGUAUCUAUGGAUGCAGUGACGUAUCUACAGAUGCAGGGACGUAUCUACUGAUGCAGGGACGUAUCUAUGGAUGCAGGGACGUAUCUAUGGAUGCAGUGAUGUAUCUACGGAUGCAGUGACGUAUCUACGGAUGCAGUGACGUAUCUACGGAUGCAGGGACGUAUCUAUGGAUGCAGUGAUGUAUCUACGGAUGCAGUGACGUAUCUACGGAUGCAGUGAUGUAUCUACCGAUGGCAGUGACGUAUCUACGGAUGCAGUGACGUAUCUAUGGAUGCAGGGACGUAUCUACAGAUGCAGAACAAAUAGACUAAUCCAAUGCAGCAGUGGUGUGUGGGUG